GCUGGGUGUGGUGGCUCACACCUGUAAUCCCAGCAUUUUGGGAGGCUGAGGCAGGAGGAUCACUUGAGCCCAGGAGUUUAAGACCAACCUGGGCAACAAAGUGAGACCCUGUCUCAA
Molecule: non-coding RNA, 117 nt
Organism: Pan troglodytes (chimpanzee)
Lineage: Eukaryota; Metazoa; Chordata; Mammalia; Primates; Hominidae
Rfam family: Metazoan signal recognition particle RNA
About the family: The signal recognition particle (SRP) is a universally conserved ribonucleoprotein. It is involved in the co-translational targeting of proteins to membranes.
Source: Rfam